Molecule: unclassified non-coding RNA, 358 nt
Filed under: soil metagenome
Description: partial contains 5.8S ribosomal RNA, internal transcribed spacer 2, and large subunit ribosomal RNA
Rfam family: 5.8S ribosomal RNA (bases 1-120)
Source: RNAcentral
GAUGAAGAACGUAGCGAAACGCGAUAUGUAAUGUGAAUUGCAGAAUUCAGUGAAUCAUCGAAUCUUUGAACGCACAUUGCGCCCGUCAGUAUUCUGGCGGGCAUGCCUGUUCGAGCGUCAUUACGCCCCUCAAGUCCCCUGUGGACUUGGUGUUGGGGAUCGGCGAGGCUGGUUUUCCAGCACAGCCGUCCCUUAAAUUAAUUGGCGGUCUCGCCGUGGCCCUCCUCUGCGCAGUAGUAAAACACUCGCAACAGGAGCCCGGCGCGGUCCACUGCCGUAAAACCCCCCAACUUUUUAUAGUUGACCUCGAAUCAGGUAGGACUACCCGCUGAACUUAAGCAUAUCAAUAAGCGGAGGA